UGCUUCACAGAGACUUUAGUGCUUUG
RNAcentral lists this non-coding RNA (26 nucleotides) under Mus musculus (house mouse). The record is from RNAcentral. Lineage: Eukaryota; Metazoa; Chordata; Mammalia; Rodentia; Muridae.